This is a long non-coding RNA of Alosa sapidissima (American shad), 171 nucleotides long. RefSeq lists it as uncharacterized. The record is from RefSeq and is a predicted model, not a curated record. The transcript has 4 exons. NCBI's taxonomy places the organism in Eukaryota, Metazoa, Chordata, Actinopteri, Clupeiformes, Clupeidae.
CUCUGUGUGUGUGUCCCUCUGUCUUCAAACAGAAGCGUAACCAGGAAAAGGCCCUUAUCCAUCACCUUCCCAUUAAGAAAGGCCCCGGUCUAAACUGCAUGUCUGUUGUAUCUCAUCAACUAGUUAUCCUGCUAAGUGUUGCCAGGUUCCUGGAGAGAAAUAAGCAAGCAG